ACGAACGCUGGCGGCGUGCUUAACACAUGCAAGUCGAACGGAAAGGCCCUGCUUUUGUGGGGUGCUCGAGUGGCGAACGGGUGAGUAACACGUGAGUAACCUGCCCUUGACUUUGGGAUAACUUCAGGAAACUGGGGCUAAUACCGGAUAGGAGCUCCUGCUGCAUGGUGGGGGUUGGAAAGUUUGGCGGUUGGGGAUGGACUCGCGGCUUAUCAGCUUGUUGGUGGGGUAGUGGCUUACCAAGGCUUUGACGGGUAGCCGGCCUGAGAGGGUGACCGGCCACAUUGGGACUGAGAUACGGCCCAGACUCCUACGGGAGGCAGCAGUGGGGAAUAUUGCACAAUGGGCGGAAGCCUGAUGCAGCAACGCCGCGUGCGGGAUGACGGCCUUCGGGUUGUAAACCGCUUUCGCCUGUGACGAAGCGUGAGUGACGGUAAUGGGUAAAGAAGCACCGGCUAACUACGUG
RNAcentral lists this ribosomal RNA (466 nucleotides) under uncultured bacterium. RNAcentral describes it as "partial 16S ribosomal RNA". It matches the Rfam family "Bacterial small subunit ribosomal RNA", at positions 29 to 507 of the family's 1533-position model. The record is from RNAcentral.